CACAGAAGUGAGUUAUGGGCACUAAUUAUUUGAGAUGUUACAGUGUGUAAAGAUGCUGUUUGUAUAAAACAGUUUUGCCAUCGCCAAACUGUGUCAACAUAUAUAGGAUAAGGUGUUUGCCUUCUUCUUUUUGGUAGAUUGUCAUUUCCUGUCUUCUGCUUUUUGGUAUAUUGUUCGAGAUAAAAUGAGUAACCAAUAAUGUCGCAUUGUGUAAUCAUGAUUGAAUUUACAUUAAUAUAAAAAAGUUGCAUUAUAUUU
RNAcentral lists this long non-coding RNA (258 nucleotides) under Linum usitatissimum (flax). RNAcentral describes it as "long non-coding RNA (LUSI_LNC006875)". The record is from RNAcentral. Lineage: Eukaryota; Viridiplantae; Streptophyta; Magnoliopsida; Malpighiales; Linaceae.